CCGGCUAUAGCUCAGUUGGUAGAGCCUCUGGCUGCAGAGCUUUGCAGCUGUCAGAUGGUCCCUGGUUCGAUUCCGGGUGGCGUGA
RNAcentral lists this transfer RNA (85 nucleotides) under Symbiodinium microadriaticum. It matches the Rfam family "tRNA". From Rfam's summary of the family: Transfer RNA (tRNA) molecules are approximately 80 nucleotides in length. Lineage: Eukaryota; Dinophyceae; Suessiales; Symbiodiniaceae. The record is from Rfam by way of RNAcentral.